Molecule: transfer RNA, 74 nt
Filed under: marine sediment metagenome
Rfam family: tRNA
About the family: Transfer RNA (tRNA) molecules are approximately 80 nucleotides in length.
Source: RNAcentral
GGGGAUAUAGCUCAAUUGGCUAGAGCACUACGCUGGCAGCGUAGAGGUUGCCGGUUCAAAUCCGGCUAUCUCCA